CCAAUGCAUGACCACUCUUUCAGAGAAUUUUGUCCUAAUAUCCAACCUGAACCUCCCCUGGUGAAACUUAGGGCCGUUACUUCUUGUAAUCUUCCCUUUCAGAUUGAUGAAAUGCGUGUUCCUGAUUCACUCUCUUAGCCUGCCUGAAUGCCUCACUGCAAUAGUCAAAAGUUAGCUGAGUCUUCAUUUCUUGAUAGCCUCCUUGGGCUUGCUGCGGGUAAAUGCAGGGUACCAGCCAUACCGUGGGAAUGGCUGAGACAAACCAUCAGCAUGCAGCAAUGCAGUUCAAAUUGGGUGAGGUAUAAGGGCUGCCCUGCUGCAAAGUUUAAGCUGCUGUGUUCCCAUGGGUAAACUACUCAGUCUUUAAGCCUUUGAAAACCUCUUUCCACAGCAGCAGAGAAGGGCUGGAGCUUAGCAGCUUAAUAUGCCAAGGACUCCAUUUGGAGUCUAAUGGACUGCUCUUGGGGAAGAAUUGGGUUUGCAGGGAGAUAAGUUGUCUCACUUUGCCCCACUUUGAAACACUUUCAUUUUCUGCAAGAACCUGGAAAGAGAUGAAGAACUGAAGGAAGAGUACACAUAUAGCAAGGACAGUCUCAUGUUGAAGUGCAUUAACCCUCAAGAAAGUUAGAAUCUCUGCUCCACGGUUGCCAUGACUUUACCUGGAAAUUCAGACCACAGCCAGAGUGAUACAGAGACUGCAAUAUUUCUGGGGCAGCUUAACUGAAAUUUGACCCAGUACUCACUACAGAAGCAAGAAGAAUAACCAUGAUGGUACCUUUCAGAGUUUUCUCAUGAGGACAAAGGGCAAAGGAAAUAAAAACAUUACCCCAUUUGCAGAAUGAACAAUUCAGGUUUUGGUGUCAGAAGAAUACCUGACAUCUCCCACCUCCAGUGUCAACACAAUGCAUUUCAGGGACAUCUUGUGUGAAAUGUUUUCUACAGAAAAUUAAAAAAAGGAGUUAGUACAAAACAAUGGUGGUGUUUAUUGGUAGUAGUGCUCAAGAAAAAGGAACAAACAAAACAAAACGAAGCUUCACUGCUCUUUGAGCUAAGAAGGUAGAAGCAGAUAUUUGAUUACUUCAAACAGAUUAGGGGUGGAUUGUGUCCCUGGAUUAUCAUCUCCAUAGGAACAGAGAUGAAAUGGCAAAAAAAAAAAAGAGAAAAAAAGAAAGUAAGUGGACACAUAACCAAUUAAGAACAUACAAGGCAAAUAUGAGAGGCCAGAUGUUGCUGAUAGUGUAGAACAGUGUCCCUGUUUGAAAACUUACCGCUUCAGGAUUGAAAAGAUUUUCCCUUAAAUGGAAAAAAAAAUCAGCCUUGAACCUGAUGUAUUUCAGCUUUUAUAGUUCAUCAGGAAAUGGCAGUUUUAGGUCAUCCAACAGAGCUAGCAAGUAGUAAAUGAGUAAGCAGUUUGAAAAGAAUCAAAGAAUAUACUGAAGGCAAAUCUUUCCAAGAAUACUCAGCAGUAAUAUUGCUUAUUGCUUUGCAGUAAAUCUCAGUGCAGCCACUCAGCUGUCCUCCUCAACAUAUCACUGCUCUAAAGUAAUUACAUCACUAAAUGAGCUUUUGAAUAAAAAGAGAAAGGUUUACUGGAGAUGACAGAGAAAGUGGAAAAUUCACUGGUGACUUUUGUAUAUCUUGUUUGAAUUCACUUGAAACAAAUCCUGGCUCCAUUUGUUGGUGGUGCGUUUUUUGUGUUUGGGUUUUUUUUUUUAAUUAUUAUUUAUUUAUUUUGCUUUCUUUCCCCCUUAAAAGCUUAUUGCAAAGUGAUUACUGCAAUAUGGCAGUUCUGAAUAACCCAUCUGGAUUGAUUUGGUUCUGUGGGCUUUCCCAAAACUAUUCAUUUCACUUUGCCACAGUUGUAAUGUGCAUAUGCCUUGCUGAAAAAAAUUUGUCAUUACCAUUUUCAGUGAGGUACCCAGAAUGAUCCUAACCUUGAAUUUCUGUGUGGUAAUACUGUGCUUGUAUGUCCAUCAUUAAAUAUGGUGAGCUAGGUUAGAGUUCCUGUUCUUUUAUGUGGAUUAACUAUCAUUUAUCAGCCCUAAAUACCAUCAGUCUUCUAGCACUGUGAAUUUCCUGCAUCUCUACAUAGCAGCUUUAGACUUAACUAUCCCAAAUAAUUGCAUAUCCUCUGCACAUUUUUUUCCUUCACUAUUUACCUCUUUUCCUUUAUCCUUUACAAAUAUGCUGAGCAUGACAUGUCCAACCACAUAUCCCUUGAGACUUUCAGUUAACUGUUGCAGUAUUCAUUUGCUAAUAAAUGUGGUUACAGCAGGAUAGAGACAAAGAUUAUUUUUCUUGAAAGAGGGAAAACUUUUGCAGCAUUUGCUGAAGACCCCUUUUUAAAAGUCCAAAUACAUUUUGUGUCAUAAUACUGUAGUUGGAUGUCCACCAUUAAACACAGAGAAACAGAUUAGAUUGGUUUUGCCUUACUAACAAACUGAUACUUUCAAAGAACACAUCAUUUCACAAGAUGUAUGAAAUUUCACCUUUGGCUAUCUGUAAUUUCAACCAUAAUAUUAAUUUCAGUCUUUAUUACAGUUCUUCACCAAUCUGGUUGUUGCCAGUCCACCAUAACCCAUUUGUUCUUCCCAUGAUGAACCGAGUCACCCUCUGUGACACUUGCACUGUACUCUUCUCUAUUUCUCUGAUUCUCAGGCUGGGUCAAGUAGUAGAUUAUUUGACAAGUAGUUCAGUGAGUCCACAAAUCUGAAAACCUUUUGAAAAAUAGCAUCUCUCAGAGGUUUGUUUUCAGUUUAUUGUUGACAGUUCCAGUUGACACAAUUCUCUGCCAUCCUCUUCUCCUCUCUUAUGUAUUAGUGAUAACUUCCCCACCUUCCUGGGGAUAUGUGAGGAUAAAAGGUUUCCUCGUUUUCUAUACAUUCAUUGCCUGUUCAUCUUAGUUAAGCUUCUCAGUAUAUUUGAAUUUUUUAUUAUUAGCAUUUAUGUCUUUCUGUUAUGUCUUUACCAAGUUGGCCCUUGUAUCUUUUCUUUCACAAUUGAUAUUUGAUAUUACAAUACAAUAUCACAAUUGAUAUUUGAUAUUACAAUACAAAAUCACAAUUGAUAUUUGCUACAACCCAUUAUCAUAUCCUCAAAUGAAUAUUGCUUCUGCUUUUAAGAGUGUGGAUUUUUUCACUUCUAACAAUCUCCUUUAAACUUCUGUUCAGUGAUGGUAGCUUUGUGGUGUGGGAAUAGAACUCUUAGGGCCUAAGUUUCUAGGAUAAUAAGUUUAAGAAGCAUUUUAUCUCAUUAUCUGCUCCUUUUAAAUGUCUCUAUAACAAGCUUCUUCAUUUUAGAGUAACUUUUCCUUUUCAGUGUUAGUGCUCAGAGCUACCAGCUGCUUGUCCUCUGCUCUGUUGACAGUUUGCCCACAGAGCAGGCAUGAAUGUGUGACUUCAUCUUGAAAUUACAUUCACCCGGGGUAUAUGAGGUGUCUGAUAUCUCCCAGUGCUGCUCUCCAUUUUUUGCCCUGAUUUGCACCCUUCCAAAAUGAUUUUUAGCUCAGCUUUCCAGACCUCACUCCCACUGACAAGGCUGUAGGAGGAAGGCAAACUGCACCAGGAAAUGUUCAUCUUACUAAGUUCUCUACAAAUCAUCUCCACGAAGUGAGACAAGCUUGAAGGGCUGCAGAUUGGAGGGCAGAUGACCCAAGUAUCCAGCGACUUUAUCUUUCUUGACACUGCCAGAAAAGACCUUCUCUCCCCUGUGCUUCCCAUGCACAUCAUCGCUGCUGCACUCACCUGAUGCUCUAUUGUAGCCUCAAAGACUCUUGCAGGAAAAAGCUACUCAGUUCAUGUAGUUCGAAUCAAUUCAGGGGAGAAGAUGUUUAAUAAUGUAAGGACACACAAUUAACUGAUAAUCAAUGGAUUAUCCAUUCAGGACUAAUGCAUACCACACUCUACAACUAGUUGAACCCAAUACAUAAAAGGCAGACAUCUCAUCUUUUGUUUUCAGAGCUAGUUCUUUGGUAAACUCUGCAAGCUCUUAAAUGACAAAAAUCUGUUGUUCUUUAUUGUUUGUUUUUAAUUUUUUUUUCUUAGUGGUAGAUAGCAUUCAUAAAAGUCUAUGAACCCAAAUGGAGACACACAAAAAGAGGAUUCUCAGAUUCUCUUUCACAUAAUUGGUCCAUAACACAGAAGUUCAAGAAGACAAGUGGCUGAAAAGGUAAUAAAGAUUCUGUGAUGUGUAAACACUUGGGUCAGUUAUUAUCAUAAACCACAAGGUUUAUGUGGUUUCUGACAUGGUGCUUUAUGGUAAAAAUUGUUAGUAGGCUGAAAAUGAACUUCACAUCUCUUGCACACAGCAGCUUACUCCAAAGCUGCCUCAUAUUUCUCUAUGCACUAAAGCAGAGAAGAACCUGUUAGGCUCUAGAGAGCCCUAACUUCUUGAAGUUAGACCACUACCUGAAGAGAAUUGGCUGAAGAAGGCUGAAGGCAGCAGCAGCUAACAGUGAAAGGAAAAGAAAGUAUUAAGCUAGCAAAAACAAGACACUUGAAUGUCAGAACUUGUAAAACUAAUUACAUUAGCAAAUAAGGUACGCUGUGAAGCAGGAAACAAACAUAUUCUUUGUAAUCAAGUUUUCUCUCCACUUCUAAAAAAUAAUCAGUUUGAUGAAAUGCAAGAGGGACAUUUAUCUUCUUUCUUUACAAGAUGCCGUGUGAACUGCUCUCUCCUGCCAAUUAGUAUUGAUCUUAUUCACUUUAUGUUUCCUUUCUAACAGUGAGGUAAUAGAAUCUGACACAUAAUUUGCUGAAAUAAUUUUUCAUUAGACUGCACCAGACCUUGUCAAUAUCUUGAGAUGCUAGGCAGUCCAUUGUAACAGUAUCUAGUAGUGUUCAUUUAAUAUCUCUAUAAUAAUAAGUUAGUCUGCAAAAUAAGUAUGCCUAGGGAAGGUUUUUGGUGUUCAAAUUUCUAGUAAAGUUGAGUGGCAUAUAGCUAGAUGCAAACACAAGAUGACAAUUUGCUUUGACACCACGAUGAUAUUUGGUCUGGUUUUGAAUUGCUGGUUUUGGGGUGUUUUUGUUGUUGUUGUUGGCUAGCUGCCAACAUUCACUUUUUGACCUGUGUGCUUCUGCAUUUUCCUUUUUUUUGACUCACAAGGGUUGUAAUUCCAACACAUUAAAAAUAAAUCACAUUGAAUAAUUGGUUUGAUCUUCCAGAUCUUCCAAGCUGAAGAUUAAUGCAGAGGUGAACAAUGCCUUUUUUCUUCUCCUUUUUCAAAGAUUUCACUUAUACUUUGUCCUUCUUUGCACACUUGUCUUCCUCUAGUUCUGCCUUUUGUUUUCUAAUCAGUAUGUAAGCCCUCCAUAGACAGAAAUUCUCCUUUCUUAGAACAGGACAGUGUCUCAGCCACGCUGUAGAACUGGAAAUCAAAUAGUGGAAAACAAUAUUCUUCAUAUGAAGCCAAGCUGGUUUUUGGAGAAUAGGUAUGACAGUCAACUUCUAACUUCACUUUGCUUGGUGAGAAUGGUUUGUGCAUUUCAAGAAGCACCACAGAGAAAAACUUUUAAAGUCCUCCAGGACCAGCAUGAUCUCUCAGAAUUAGAAAAAUGUAAAGCAAUUCAAGAAUUCCUUUGAAUUAUUCACAUGGGACAAUACCUUGGUGUGCUGAAGCAGACUGAAUGACUAAACACAGCCAUGAAAAUAGAUUACUGGAGUGUUUCAACAGGCAUGUGCACAGCCUUAAUGACCCUAAAUGACCGGUCUUAACUGGUCCAACUGGUCCUUAGAACUGAUGAGGAAACAGGCAAGCAAGCAAAAUACCUAAGUAACAUUUUUGUUGAACUUUUGAAGAUACCUAGGAACUACUAAAACAAGCCAAGAGAAAUAAAACUGGAAUUGGACCUCAGUUCUCAUGGUUAUCGCAAAGCAUGUGCUGAAGUGGUUAUUCUGAAGGGCUUUUUUGGAAAUUGCACAACAUCAGAUCAUCCAGCGGAAAAUGCUUUCAGGCCUGGAGCAUGAGGUGAGGAGUCAACUGAGCAACAAAGUACACUUCUGAAUGACUUGAUGGAGCCUGACUCACUAACAGAAAAAUAUUUUGUAAAUUUGAUAUUAGAUGUUUUAUGGAUGGCACUUUCAUAGUCAUAUAUGUGAAAUGAAGGACCUGGUAGGCACUGGAUUCAUUAUGAGUAUUAUGUCUGUGAAAGAAGAGCUACUUGUUGCUUAGCUUUGGUAGCUUUAGCUGAGGAUUCAGCAGAUGACCACAAUGUGCCUUUGCAUACCUGAAAAAACUUCAGAUGGAUUACAGAGAAAACAGAGCUCAUGGUUUUAUUUACAGUGUUGUUCUUGGAGCAGAUUGGCAGAAGUGCUCACAGAGAAAGAUCUGCAGGACAUGGCUAUUUUGCCUGUCCUGAAUGAAAGGGUUCUGCUGGGCACUGCCUAUAUCAUCCAGUUUGUGCAAGAGCUGAGCAAAUGAAAUUUUGAACAACUGUUCUUUUCCUGCAAGAAUGUUGUUGCAAGAGAUCCUGCUUUUAAAUUC
This is a long non-coding RNA of Gallus gallus (chicken), 6481 nucleotides long. RefSeq lists it as uncharacterized. The transcript has 4 exons. The record is from RefSeq and is a predicted model, not a curated record. NCBI's taxonomy places the organism in Eukaryota, Metazoa, Chordata, Aves, Galliformes, Phasianidae.